Molecule: ribosomal RNA, 301 nt
Filed under: uncultured bacterium
Lineage: Bacteria
Description: partial 16S ribosomal RNA
Rfam family: Bacterial small subunit ribosomal RNA
Source: RNAcentral
CAGUCGCCACGGGAAUACGUAGGGUGCGAGCGUUGUCCGGAAUUACUGGGCGUAAAGAGCUCGUAGGCGGUUUGUCGCGUCGUCUGUGAAAUUCUGCAGCUUAACUGCAGGCGUGCAGGCGAUACGGGCAGACUUGAGUACUACAGGGGAGACUGGAAUUCCUGGUGUAGCGGUGAAAUGCGCAGAUAUCAGGAGGAACACCGGUGGCGAAGGCGGGUCUCUGGGUAGUAACUGACGCUGAGGAGCGAAAGCGUGGGUAGCGAACAGGAUUAGAUACCCGCGUAGUCCCUGUCUCUUAUAC